Eurytemora carolleeae is the source of this 1029-nucleotide long non-coding RNA. RefSeq lists it as uncharacterized. The record is from RefSeq and is a predicted model, not a curated record. Lineage: Eukaryota; Metazoa; Arthropoda; Copepoda; Calanoida; Temoridae. The transcript is spliced from 3 exons.
UUGCAAUCAAAACGUUUGCUCUCCAGUCUCAACUGCUAUCAAUGCUCAUCUGCUAUCCAAAACUAGUUACUAUCCAAAUACGUUACUAUCGAAAUAAUAGUUGUGUUUCUAAAUAAGUUGCUAUUAAAACCAGUUCUUAGUACUGGAGGCAACAAAACGAGCCGACUCCAUGCCCACGCAAAGUUUGCCAGAGACUGGAGAAUUCCAAAUUUAGAGAAAUUCUUCAAUUUUUUUUGCGGAUUUUUAAAAGAAAAAAAAGGGUUAAAGUAAUGAUUGAGAGCAAGUCGAAAAUUUUAUAGCAAAUGAUGAUUGAUAGCAAAAUUGUUGAUUGCAACUGAGUUGAUAGCAAAUGAGUUUGAUAGCAAGUGAGUUGAUAGCAAGUGAGGGGAUAGCAAGUGAGGCUAACAGCAAGUGAGUUGAUAGCAAGUGAGUUGAUAGCAAAUGAUCGUGUUUCGUUUAUAAUCCCUUUAAUAUCCAGAGUUUACGUCUAUAAUCCCUUUAAUAUCCAGAGUUUACGUCUAUAAUCCCUUUAAUAUCCAGAGUUUGCAUUAUAGUCCCUUAAAUAUCCAGAGUUUACAAAUAUCCAGAUUUUACGUCUAUAACCCCUUUAAUAUCCAAAGUUCACGUCUAUAAUCCAUUUAAUAUCCUGAGUAUACGUCUAUAAUCCCUUUAAUAUCCAGAGUUUACGUCUAUAAUCCCAUUAAUAUCCACAGUUUACGUCUAUAAUCCCUUUAAUAUCCAAAGUUUACGUCUAUAAUCCAUUUAAUAUCCUGAGUAUACGUCUAUAAUCCCUUUAAUAUCCAGGGUGAUGUAAAUGAGUAUGGGAUACCGCAUGGUUAUGGUUCAGUUCUCUUCUGUUCAGGGGAUCAGCUGUGCGGAGAGUUCAAGUUUGGAAUAAGAGAGGGGAAAGCUACUUUAAGAACGUCAACGCCAAUACUAAGUUGCCUGACUUCCUCUGAAGAGAGCAGACAUAUCUUAUGCUGUCCCAGAAUUGCAGCCUGGAGGAGCACUGUGUUUAGCAUCUUGUAU